CGUGCUUGCACAAAUAGUUGACUGAGUGGCGGACGGGUGAGUAACGCGUGAGCGACCUACCUUAAAGAGGGGGACAACAGUUGGAAACGACUGCUAAUACCGCAUAAGACCACAAUGCUGCAUGGCAAAGGGGUCAAAGGAGCAAUCCGCUUUAAGAUGGGCUCGCGUCCCAUUAGGUAGUUGGUGAGGUAACGGCUCACCAACGCCGACGAUGGGUAGCCGACCUGAGAGGGUGAUCGGCCACACUUGGAACUGAGAGACGGUCCAGGACUCCG
Molecule: ribosomal RNA, 275 nt
Filed under: uncultured bacterium
Lineage: Bacteria
Description: partial 16S ribosomal RNA
Rfam family: Bacterial small subunit ribosomal RNA
Source: RNAcentral